AGAUGGCCGGGUGGUUGCUCCUCUAUAUUAGGAGGAGAGGAAAGUCCGAGCUUCAUUCGAGAUAGAUGCCCGUUAACGGCGGGGCGAGGUGACUCGACGGAAAGUGCCACAGAAACAUACCGUCUCUUAUUAGAGUAAUUCAUAAAGAGAUAAGGGUGAAAUGGUGAGGUAAGAGCUCACCGCCUUGGUGGUAACAUCAAGGGCAGGGCAAACCCCAUUUGAAGCAAGGCCAAGCAGAGUACCCGUAUAUAUUUGGGUAGAAAGAGAGCUCGAUCUCUACUCAGGUCGGCCGCAUGACUUAGUUGGCAACAGCUAGGCUAGAUAGAUAAUCACCGUAAGUCAUUAAUGGAGGACGAAGUCUAAGGAUGUAAACUUGCAUGGAUGACUUGUACAGAACUCGGCUUAUAGGCCAUCUUG
This 417-nucleotide RNase P RNA is filed under the name marine eukaryotic metagenome. Its description in RNAcentral is "Bacterial RNase P class A". It matches the Rfam family "Bacterial RNase P class A". From Rfam's summary of the family: Ribonuclease P (RNase P) is a ubiquitous endoribonuclease, found in archaea, bacteria and eukarya as well as chloroplasts and mitochondria. Its best characterised activity is the generation of mature 5'-ends of tRNAs by cleaving the 5'-leader elements of precursor-tRNAs. The record is from RNAcentral.